GUGGGGAAUAUUGGACAAUGGGCGCAAGCCUGAUCCAGCCAUGCCGCGUGAGUGAUGAAGGCCCUAGGGUUGUAAAGCUCUUUCACCGGUGAAGAUAAUGACGGUAACCGGAGAAGAAGCCCCGGCUAACUUCGUGCCAGCAGCCGCGGUAAUACGAAGGGGGCUAGCGUUGUUCGGAAUUACUGGGCGUAAAGCGCACGUAGGCGGACAUUUAAGUCAGGGGUGAAAUCCCAGAGCUCAACUCUGGAACUGCCUUUGAUACUGGGUGUCUUGAGUAUGGAAGAGGUAAGUGGAAGUCCGAGUGUAGAGGUGAAAUUCGUAGAUAUUCGGAAGAACACCAGUUGCGAAGGCGACUGACUGGACAAGUAUUGACGCUGAGGUGCGAAAGCGUGGGGAGCAAACAGGAUUAGAUACCCGUGUAGUCC
This 425-nucleotide ribosomal RNA is filed under the name uncultured bacterium. Its description in RNAcentral is "partial 16S ribosomal RNA". It matches the Rfam family "Bacterial small subunit ribosomal RNA", at positions 354 to 796 of the family's 1533-position model. The record is from RNAcentral.